RNAcentral lists this ribosomal RNA (258 nucleotides) under uncultured bacterium. RNAcentral describes it as "partial 16S ribosomal RNA". It matches the Rfam family "Bacterial small subunit ribosomal RNA", at positions 1234 to 1500 of the family's 1533-position model. The record is from RNAcentral.
CGUAAACAAAGGGAAGCGACCAUGUGAAUGCAAGCAAAUCUCAAAAAUAACGUCUCAGUUCGGAUUGUAGUCUGCAACUCGACUACAUGAAGCUGGAAUCGCUAGUAAUCGCGAAUCAGAAUGUCGCGGUGAAUACGUUCCCGGGUCUUGUACACACCGCCCGUCACACCAUGGGAGUUGGGGGUGCCUGAAGUUCGUGACCGCAAGGAUCGACCUAGGGCAAAACCGGUGACUGGGGCUAAGUCGUAACAAGGUAAC